UCCCUGAUAGCUCAGUUGGUAAAGAAUCUGCCUGAAAUACAGGAGACCCUGGUUCAAUUCCUGGGUUGGGAA
This is a non-coding RNA of Bos taurus (domestic cattle), 72 nucleotides long. Lineage: Eukaryota; Metazoa; Chordata; Mammalia; Artiodactyla; Bovidae. The record is from Rfam.